RNAcentral lists this ribosomal RNA (446 nucleotides) under uncultured bacterium. RNAcentral's name for it is "partial 16S ribosomal RNA". It matches the Rfam family "Bacterial small subunit ribosomal RNA", at positions 338 to 795 of the family's 1533-position model. The record is from RNAcentral.
CCUACGGUGGACAGCAGUCGAGAAUCAUUCACAAUGGGGGAAACCCUGAUGGUGCGACGCCGCGUGGGGGAAUGAAGGUCUUCGGAUUGUAAACCCCUGUCAUGUGGGAGCAAAUUAAAAAGAUAGUACCACAAGAGGAAGAGAUGGCUAACUCUGUGCCAGCAGCCGCGGUAAUACAGAGGUCUCAAGCGUUGUUCGGAAUCACUGGGCGUAAAGCGUGCGUAGGCUGUUUCGUAAGUCGUGUGUGAAAGGCGCGGGCUCAACCCGCGGACGGCACAUGAUACUGCGAGACUAGAGUAAUGGAGGGGGAACCGGAAUUCUCGGUGUAGCAGUGAAAUGCGUAGAUAUCGAGAGGAACACUCGUGGCGAAGGCGGGUUCCUGGACAUUAACUGACGCUGAGGCACGAAGGCCAGGGGAGCGAAAGGGAUUAGAUACCCCAGUAGUC